Molecule: unclassified non-coding RNA, 264 nt
Filed under: uncultured fungus
Lineage: Eukaryota; Fungi
Description: sequence contains ITS1
Source: RNAcentral
GUAUUGAUUGCGGGUUAGCGCAUAAAUGAGGUCAUUCUACACUUUUUAAAAGGGGUGUUUGUGUGAAAACGCAAGCCCCCCUCCCGGAUCGGUUUGAUCCCAAAGGGUUGCCCACGCGGUGGUGCACAAAAGGGUGAGAUGGAUUUUUAUGUGAGAGGACACACUCUGGCGUGCACGACUCUUGUGGUAAAAGUCAGCGACAGCCCUCGCAUGCCUCACACAUUUUGUACGAUAAUGAUCCUUCCGCAGGUUCACCUACGGAAA